Molecule: non-coding RNA, 4887 nt
Organism: Osmia lignaria (orchard mason bee)
Lineage: Eukaryota; Metazoa; Arthropoda; Insecta; Hymenoptera; Megachilidae
Source: RefSeq, a predicted model, not a curated record
GUUUUUCUUCUCCCUCUUUCUCACCCUUGAUACGUGAUGAAGACGGAGACAGUGAACGAUCCACCUCCACGGUUGAUCGCGGUUUAUCGUCGCGAAGGCCUCCAAGAGCGUCAACCCCUGCUCGAGUUUCGUCACGAGAGAGAACCCGGGAGAAACUCGAGGAAUUUCCGGGCGCACCUGCGUCAGAGGAGGGAAUCGACAGGUGUGGAAAAAGUUUAUUCUCUCGCUGGGUUUCGCUGACCCGGUCACAGCGAACACCAACGCUGCAUCUACGCCUAUGCGCCAGACGCCGACAAGGGGUUGCUCGCCCCUUCCUGUCUGCACGCUCACAUGGAAACGUGGUCGAGGCUUCUGCACGAACGUGCUCACCGACUGUUCGACCCUGCCUUCCCUAUUUUCUCUCUUCCUACCGGCUCGAUUUUCGCGCAAGCCAAAGAAGAAUACUUAAAACGCUGCAGUCGGGCAUCUUUUCAACCGCCCCUCAAACACACCCUUCUCGUCUCGGGGACAUUAUUCACUGCACCGCGAACAUCGCGUAUUUAAAACGGGCCUGCUUUCCAAUUUGCAUCCCAUGCUUUCCUUUCACCUCCUUCGAUCCACACAUACCGAUUAUUAUUAGACCCGUGUCGUAUGUUAGUUUCCAUUUCUUUCUUUUUUUUUUUUAAUAUAUUAUUUAUAUGGAUGCUUUAUUAAAAUAAUCAGUAUUGUUUAUAUUUUCAAACGAUGAGUUUCAAUGAAAUCUGUCACUGAGUUAAAUGAAAUCUUAGUAUCCGAUGGAAGAAGUCCGUGAAAAAGAAGAGGGUGAAUCGAGGGUUUUCAUCCCUGAAGAUACGCAUUACACGGGAUCGUUAGCAGUCUCCUUACGUCGGUUGGCAUUCGUGGAAAUGGGCUGGACAGAAGGAAACGCGUAGACACGGGGAGAGAAAAUGACGGGGAUAUCAAUGCAGUUUUAGUAGCAGAAGUGGCUACGCGAGACGGAUUAAUUGCGCACUUCAUCCUCGCCGAGAAAAACCCCAUGGCAUCCCCUGCCGCCUCUGAACCUUCGCGUUGAUUGCCACGCAACUCGUUAAAAGUACUGCUGCCUCGAUUCUCUAAUUAGCAAGUAAUUGGAUUCGUUACCCGGUAAGCGGUAUGAAACGGCUCCUUCCAGGAAGUAUGAUUGUCGCGAACUUGUUGUUUCUAUUUAUUAUUCUUUUUUUUUUAAAUUCUAAAGGUUAACUUUCCUCCCGUUUGAACUUUAGAGAUCAGAAUUUCUAAGGAAAUAAGGAUUCAUCGAGUUUCCUUUGCUUUGGAAUUCUACGAAUUUUAUUUAUUUCAAUUAAUUAAAGUCAAUUCACUGCUGCAAAAUACAGAGAAAAUAAUAAUAACACGAAAUUCUUAACGUCUUAAAACUUCUCGCAAUUCGAUCUAUCGUGUUGCACGAUCAGAAAUUAAUUCAUAAAACGCCUCUGCUCACAUGCACCCCUCGCCAUGUUUUACAUCGAGCGUUCGCCAUCGCGAAACCAAUUCCUUUUUUCUCUCGCAGUUUUUCGUAUCGCCUUUAUAUCGACGUAACCGUAAACAGAGUGAAAUAUGACAUGGAAUAAACCGAGGAUGGAAUAACAUCGACGAACUUGACGUUUAUCGUGACGAUGCGAAGACGCACUGAAAAAAGUGCGAGGGAUCUGAGCGCAAUUAGACACGUUAGGAAACAUUUCAGUCUGGCCAAUGCCCCUGAAGCUUAAUGACCCCGUGACUGUGCACAAGCAACGGGCCAAAGGCCCCUCCUAUCGCGUGCACAUACACUUUGCAUGGUUAUCGCGCGAAUAAUUAUAUACCCCUUUACCACCGCGGAUCCGUCUAAUCGAAUCUACACCCGAACUGACGGUGAAAAAUUUCACGAAACUCGUUGGUUAUCUCGGAAACCGACGUUGGUAAACCUGAUUCUCGAUAUUUUGCAUAAAAUUUAAGAUUUAUUCAUUUUAUGGAUGAUUAUUUUUAGAACUCGAGUUGUUAUGUUUAAAAUUGUAAGAAAUUAAAUCUGUUAGAAUUCGAACGUUUAGAUGCAAAAUAAUAGUUAUCUGGAAAUAUAGAAAAUGUCUGGAGAAUAAAAUGAGAGGUAUCUCGCGAAGGUUGCAUUCUUCGCAGUACUUUUUUCGGCGCAUCUGAAAACAAUGCCGUCACCCACGCAGUCUACAGGCACUAUUCGUUAUUGCUUCGUCCCUUUUCACAACUACAUCGUCGUCGAUUCACGGUCACAGUUUGCACCGAACAACGAUCCGUCUAGACAGACAACCCUCCAUGGACGAACCUUCCACCUUGUCUUUCUCCUCUUCUUUUCUUCUAGCUUAGCUUCUCUACUUCGAUCUAUACAUAUUCACGACUCUACGAGACUUGAACGAUAAAACGCGGUCGCCAAAUUAUUUUGCAAAUCAAUUUAAACUGAGAUAGUUUCUUCGAAACUUUGAUUUUACAUCGUCGACAGAUUCGAUAGCAAACAGAAGGAAAAAUUUAUGAAUUUCCUUGAAAAACAGGGUGAAUCGUUGCGAGGGGAUGCGUAGUCAAAGAUUAAAUUCAAUCGUUUACCCCCGUUCGAGGGAGAAUCGAGCGGAAUGUAACGGUGAUUUUGAAGCCGGCGCAUAAUUACGAUUAAUUAAAAAUAGCUUUGGUAUGCCGACGUUCAACCCUCGUGAAGAACGUGCAUCGAUCGUGGAGGGUCGUCGUCCGCUGUGUUGCAACGUAUCCUAUGCAGACAGGAUGCAUUCUCCUUUCAUGCCCGUUCAUGCAAAGGACACUCUCAUCGUGUAUGCAGUUUCGAAGGCUCUACUCGAACUGUCAGAUUUCUCGUAGCGCCUUUGUUCAAAGCUGAAGCGAAUCGACGAUGAUUGCCGAGGCUGAUUCUUUGCAAUUCUCAGGUGAAGAGUUUAUUGGAAACAAUUUUUAAUCAAUUUCAAAAUUAAUUCAAUGCCUUUUUUUAAAUUAGAUCCUGAUCACCGAUGACAUAAUUGAUAUGAAGUUCACCUGAGUUUGUUUAUUAGGUGUUUAAUCGUUUUAGAAUGGAAGAGUAUGUUUCUGACGGUACAUUCACAGUAUUAAAGACGUCGUAACGCCAUAGCAAAAUCCCAUUUACGCAAAGCCACUCGUCGUAACGGAAUUCGGACUUGCAAGGGUGGAAAAGCGAGGGUUCGUCCUCGACUGCCAUUGAAAUAUAGUAAUCUGACAUGGUAUGGCUACGUGGAAAAUCGUGCCAACAACUGCCUUUGAGACGCUCUUUUUACGAGUAUCCCUAGAUAAACCUUCCUUUUUCGGUAAAUGUCUUUGGACCUUCGAGUAUCGUUUAAGAAAUUUCAUUUUUAUGGUAAUUAUUGAAUCACCGACGCUAGACGUUCUUAAAAAAACAAUCUGGCAAAUCAGAGUCCUUUUCCUUUUCAAAAGAGACUGUAUUAUUUACGGUAAAAUACUGACGGUUAUUUUAUUAUUGUUUAAAUAAAUUUAAAAAAAAAACGAAGCCAGCUUUCGAGAGGGAUAAGAAACGACCCCAUUUUGGAAGAUUUCCAAAGGACGUCUAGACUCUAGACGGCGAGGAUGUUCUUUCGACCUUCGCCUCUCCACUUCGAUCGAGAAAAACCGUCGUAAUACGACAUUGCAAAAAUAAUCGUAUGACAGGAACUGGGAGAGAAAAAGAAUCGACGCAAAAUAAUUGAAGGGAGAAAGUUUUUUCCUAUAGUAAAUAUAGAUGAAACAAGUGUAAUUCGUUUUGACGACGUCAAUUAACGCGAUUUGUGCAAAUAAGUAGAAAACAGGGGAAAUAUCCUAAGGGAUAACGCGACAAAUAAUAAUUGCGAGCAUUCUGAAAAUAAUAUCGUAUUACUUAGAUGUUCGUUAACGUUUUAUUUCAUUCAUGUGAAAAUAAACUCGUUACUUCUUUCUUCUGUUUCAUUGAAAAAAUUUAAUGAACUCCCAUGAUGAAUGGGAAGAAAAAUAUAAUUCACAUUUGAUAUUUGGUAAAGGAGAAAAAGGAACCGAUCACGGUGGUACCUGCAUCAGAGGAUCUCGAUUACAGAAACUGUAACUGGUUUCACUGGUUCGAAGGGCGACGGAGGAAACGGGGUGCAACGGGAGACGUUCGCUGGGUCGCCCGGACACGGGGGUUGGAAUUCUGCAGACAGGAUGGCGGCACUGGGGCGAACUUUCGCUCUCUCCUGCUGUACAACUACCACUAUGCCACUGCCACGCCCCAUGACGCAACUGCAACCAGAGCAAACAAUUUGAUCAUGUGAAGAAUUCUGAACAGCAUCUCGUUCAACUGCAAUCAGCUAAACGAAAGAAAAAGAAGGGGAGGGAAGCUUUCCAAGUGAACGAGACGUGCAAAAAGUGUGUCGUCCCAGGGAUGCGGCCGAAAGGCGAAAGGAUAAGGUAUUUGCACUAGACCUAGAGAAAAACAGUGUUCCAUGAGGGUGUGCAUAAAAUUAGACGGUGCAUUCAACUCUGCUGAGACGAUGCCAAGAUGCAAGCCCAAAGAUUCGCGUCUACUUGUUUCUUCUGGAUACUGCAUCACGUUGCAGCGGCAGCCAGGAUGGCACCAAUGCCCCCGUUCCAAACUACUCUCUAAAACGCCCUCUACGUGGCUACCCAUAACAAAUUGCCUUCCAACUGCACGAUACGUGAUACGCUUACCCUUACGGACAAUCCAAGGCAAAAGACCAGCAGAAUUUCAUUUCUUGCUCUAUCAAAGUUGUAUGUACAUACACCGCAGACAAGGGUAAUGAAGACAAAGCAUCACUGAUAUCGACUACUUACCGAAGAUAAUAAUGCAAGCAUUUAUUUAGUUUGUUUCCGAUAAUGAAUAUCUUGAACAAUGUACGCUAUUAAAAGUGAUGGAUAAAUAUAUUCAGUUGAAUGGAUUCA